UACGAAGGGGGCUAGCGUUGUUCGGAAUUACUGGGCGUAAAGGGCGCGUAGGCGGCUCGACAAGUCCCGCGUGAAAGCCCCCGGCUCAACUGGGGAACUGCGCGGGAAACUGUCGGACUUGAGUUCGGGAGAGGGAAGCGGAAUUCCGGGUGUAGCGGUGAAAUGCGUAGAUAUCCGGAGGAACACCGGUGGCGAAGGCGGCUUCCUGGACCGACACUGACGCUGAGGCGCGAAAGCUAGGGGAGCAAACGGG
RNAcentral lists this ribosomal RNA (253 nucleotides) under uncultured bacterium. Its description in RNAcentral is "partial 16S ribosomal RNA". It matches the Rfam family "Bacterial small subunit ribosomal RNA", at positions 524 to 776 of the family's 1533-position model. The record is from RNAcentral.